AGUCGACGGCAGCGCGGGGCACCUGGCGGCGAGUGGCGAACGGGUGAGUAAUAUAUCGGAACGUACCCAGAAGUGGGGGAUAACGUAGCGAAAGUUACGCUAAUACCGCAUACGAUCUACGGAUGAAAGUGGGGGACCUUCGGGCCUCAUGCUUUUGGAGCGGCCGAUAUCUGAUUAGCUAGUUGGUGAGGUAAAGGCUCACCAAGGCGACGAUCAGUAGCUGGUCUGAGAGGACGACCAGCCACACUGGGACUGAGACACGGCCCAGACUCCUACGGGAGGCAGCAGUGGGGAAUUUUGGACAAUGGGCGCAAGCCUGAUCCAGCAAUGCCGCGUGAGUGAAGAAGGCCUUCGGGUUGUAAAGCUCUUUUGUCAGGGAAGAAACGGCUGGGGCUAAUAUCCUCGGCUAAUGACGGUACCUGAAGAAUAAGCACCGGCUAACUACGUGCCAGCAGCCGCGGUAAUACGUAGGGUGCAAGCGUUAAUCGGAAUUACUGGGCGUAAAGCGUGCGCAGGCGGUUUUGUAAGUCUGUCGUGGAAGCCCCGGGCUCAACCUGGGAAUUGCGAUGGAGACU
This 575-nucleotide ribosomal RNA is filed under the name uncultured bacterium. RNAcentral's name for it is "bacterial SSU rRNA". It matches the Rfam family "Bacterial small subunit ribosomal RNA", at positions 60 to 634 of the family's 1533-position model. The record is from RNAcentral.